CCAUGAUGAAUUGUCGCGAAGAUCAUUUUCCAGCCAGCUGCAUUUUAGAGCACACGGUUGGAAAGAAAGGUUUGGAAAAAGAAGUCGACAUGUUUCUCACAAUGGACCCUUGAUUUUGGACGCAGUUUUCACUGACAGUGUCGAGAACACGAUUUGAAUACAUUUCCUAAAUUGAAUAUUCAUCAGGACAUUCCCGUGGCAGAUUGACCAAAGUAUUGUAAAAGAUAUUCUCAUCCAGCUUCAUCACACGGGCAUUUGCGAGACGUUUUGACACGACGAUUUGAAUGAAAGACAUUUCUUCUUUGGCCUUUGUUUCGUUAUAAUUUGAUUGAUUUAGAGGAUCUUUGUAUGUUUAUUGUAAAGUUGAAGGAUAAUUCAAGAUUUUGCAUCCUGCUCUCAAAUAGUUUCAGCGAUUGAUAGGACCCCUAUUUCAUAGAUUUUCAUACCCUACUUCCAAUUGGUUUUUUUACGAGGAUGUUUAUGAAACACACGGUUCCCUCAUUGUACUUUUACAGAGUUUGCCCCCUAUGCGUUAUAAACAUCUAUUAGAUUUUGCUUUAAAUGUGCUAUUUAACUUUGGAGGAUCCUCAACUCUAGCCAUUUAUUGUUACCAAUCUUGCAAUUGGUUUUUUACGAGGAUGUUGGUGAAAUACACGCCUCCCUCAUUGUGAUAUAUUUGAGGGUUUGCCUCAUAUAUUUUGAAAACAUCAGAUUUUAGAUUUUGCUUUAGUUAUGGAUUUUGUUUUGAGGAUUCUCAACUCUAGGGUUGGCUCACCAAUAGUAACUAUUAAUUGUUGUUGUUUUCAAAAUUAGCAAACAUUUUGAUAAUUAUUAUGAUGAUGAAGUAAA
Non-coding RNA from Rhopilema esculentum, 849 nucleotides. The record is from RefSeq and is a predicted model, not a curated record. Lineage: Eukaryota; Metazoa; Cnidaria; Scyphozoa; Rhizostomeae; Rhizostomatidae.